UAAAAGGCUUGACUUCAAGCCACACAAUAAAGACAAGACAAUAAUAU
Molecule: non-coding RNA, 47 nt
Organism: Strongylocentrotus purpuratus (purple sea urchin)
Lineage: Eukaryota; Metazoa; Echinodermata; Echinoidea; Camarodonta; Strongylocentrotidae
Source: Rfam